AGAGAGAGACAUGCGCGCAUAUCAAUAAGCGGAGGAAAAGAAACUAACAAGGAUUCCCCUAGUAACGGCGAGUGAAGCGGGAAGAGCUCAAAUUUGAAAUCUUAAAGGGUUUCCCUUUACGAAUUGUAGUUUAAAGAAGUGUUUUCUGUUGAGGUUUUGGUAAAAGUUCUUUGGAAUAGGACAUCAUAGAGGGUGAGAAUCCCGUAUUUGACCUUUACUUUCAACUUUGUGAUACACUUUCAAAGAGUCGGAUUGUUUGGGAAUGCAGUCCAAAAUGGGUGGUAAAUUUCAUCUAAAGCUAAAUAUUGGCGAGAGACCGAUAGCGAACAAGUACCGUGAGGGAAAGAUGAAAAGAACUUUGAAAAGAGAGUUAAACAGUACGUGAAUUGUCAAAAGGGAAGCGUUUGACACCAGUGUUGUUUUUCUGAAAAUCAAUUAAAGAACUGUUUAUGCUAAGCUGUUUAGACUUUAUCAGCUAAUCUGUUUAGUUUUGAGCUUUUCUUUAAUGCACUUUUCAGUUAACAAGUCAACAUCAAUUUCUUUUGCUGUAAAAAAGCUUGAGGAAGGUGGCUUGAGAUUCGUCUUAAGUGUUUAUAGCCUCUUGCCUAUGCAGUCGGAGAGAUUGAGGUCUGCAGCGUAGAUCCUUCGGGGCUAAAUGCAUUUGUGCUAAGUUAUAGCAUUUUAUAGACAACUUGUUGACUAUGAUUUGUCUUGUAGCUUACUCGCUUAUGUUAUUUUACCUACGCUUAGGAUGUUGAGCGCAUGUCUCUCUCU
This 774-nucleotide ribosomal RNA is filed under the name uncultured Neocallimastigales. Its description in RNAcentral is "partial large subunit ribosomal RNA". It matches the Rfam family "Eukaryotic large subunit ribosomal RNA", at positions 23 to 616 of the family's 3401-position model. Lineage: Eukaryota; Fungi; Neocallimastigomycota; Neocallimastigomycetes; Neocallimastigales. The record is from RNAcentral.